This 75-nucleotide transfer RNA is filed under the name Ignavibacteriaceae bacterium. Its description in RNAcentral is "tRNA-Asn". It matches the Rfam family "tRNA". Rfam says of the family: Transfer RNA (tRNA) molecules are approximately 80 nucleotides in length. The record is from RNAcentral. Lineage: Bacteria; Pseudomonadati; Ignavibacteriota; Ignavibacteria; Ignavibacteriales; Ignavibacteriaceae.
UCCGCGAUAGCUCAAUGGUGGAGCAUUCGGCUGUUAACCGAAGGGUUGCAGGUUCGAGCCCUGCUCGCGGAGCCA